This 2146-nucleotide long non-coding RNA is filed under the name Panax ginseng (ginseng). Its description in RNAcentral is "long non-coding RNA (PGIN_LNC008502)". Lineage: Eukaryota; Viridiplantae; Streptophyta; Magnoliopsida; Apiales; Araliaceae. The record is from RNAcentral.
GCAAGUAGGCAGGUCAAGAGGAAAAGUUGCACUACAUCAGCAGAUCCAAAAAAGAAACAUAACAAUUCUAGAAAUUCUAACAAGGUAUUGAAUUUCAGUUAUCUUGAAACUGUCGUCGAUAGAUGAAAUGGAUGUUAAACAGUGGAAUACAGACUAAUACUACACUUCUCUUUCUUUACUUUUAUACAGACUAAUACUACACCAAAGUUGCAAGUUAAGAGGAUAAAGACCCGCGCUAAAGUACCAGCAGGAUUUGGUGUUUAUGUUAGUCCUGAGGGAGCUGUAAUAGAUAAUAUGAAUGGACAAAACUCUGGAUUAGUUUUUGUGAGUUACAACUUUUUUUAAAUUGCAAGUAUUUAUGUUACUUUUAUUUGUCAUUUUUCAUAUGUAACCAUACUUGUGCUUGGUUAUGUCAAAUGCAGAUGCCAACUCCAGGAGAAGUCAUAUAUCAAGAUGGAUCAAGCAGAAAUAACACACCUCCUGCUACAAGAAUGUAUAGAACCCUACUUACAUCAAGCAACAAUCCACCAACUUCAAGCACAAUGGAGAACAUGAGAGAUUAAGUUGGAAGUCAGUAGGGACAUGAGAUAUCCAAGUUUAAUUUUUAAGAACUUUGUUUAAUAUUUAUGACCUUUGUUUAAUAUCAAGUUUGGACAGUGUGUUGAUUGAAAUGAUUGACUGAUGGCAGCUUUUUUCAAGUUUGUUUAAGACAAUGUAUUGUUUAAUAUCAAGUUUUAAGAACAUGACUGAUGGCAGCUUUUUUUAUUUUUAUGGUUGAAUUGAAUCCUUUUAUGGUUGGCUUGAAUCCUUUUCAUUUUUAUGGUUGAAUUGAAUGAUGACAUUUUUUUAUGUUCUGCAAAGUACCAAUAAGGCCUUCCUAACAUUUUCACCAGUUGGUCAAUUUGAGUGAGGUUUGGCAGUGCAUUUUGCUGAUUAAAAUAGGAAACAUAUCUACCCCUUUCCUUUUCUCUUUCAAUGAAGUGCUCUUUCAGUAGUCUGUAUUAUGACGAAGAAGAAAAUAAUUUGAGCUUAAUGGAUGUUGGCUAGUCCUAAUUCAAUCAGCAAGGAUGCAAUGUGGAUGAACUUGAGGAGCUUAUCUUUAUUCUUGAAUUUUAACUUAGUUUUGCUAGACACAUUCUUUAGUAGUUUAAUCUUCCAGAGCAUGUAGUAGUCGGAUUAAUUAAGCUUUGUGUCUUAUUUAUAUAUCUUGUGGGAUAUGGUGACCAUAAUACUUGCCACCAGCCUCUGUUAAAGCAUCCUUAAUUUGCAAAAAACAGAGCAUUGAAACAACAACAAACUAGAAAGACAAGAAACAGAGCAUGCAAUUCAUUCAUUAAUUAAAACAGAACAUCAUUCAUUCAUUGAAACAGCAACAUUAUUCAUUCAUUGAAACAACAACAUCCUGCAUUCAUUAAAACACCAAACAUCACAAUCCAUUGAAACACCACCAAAAAUAAACCUUCAACUUAACUAAUACAUUAAAACAAAGCAUCAUUCAUUCAAAUUCUAACCCCAACAACACCAGCCAACUAACAUCCAUGAGCAAAUUAAAAGAAACCAUAAACAUUUUUCCUUUUGUUGAGCUUUGACAGUAAUCUUCUUUAGCUUUUUAACCUCCUUCUCCAAUGUCUUCACUGAAUUAAGUUCUGCCAACUCUUUCCAAUCCUUGGUCUUCUCACUAUUUUCAUUCUUCAAUUUAACCAACAUCUCUCUGCUCAUCUUCAACUUUAAUGUCAAAUCUUCAAUAACAUCUUUGGCUCGUUCAGGAAAUGGUGGAUCGUACCAUUUAAAGAAACCGCAGUAAGCUCUCCUGUCCUAUUACACAGCAACACACCAGCCAUUUUCAGUCGCAAUCAUAUGAAAAGAAAUAAAAAAAACAUCAUUCCAAAAUCUUACCCGAUAAUUAAUACACCCAAUGAAUCGCCUUCCUAGAUGUUUUGUUCCAUCUUUCUUUGCCUCCCACAUUUGCACCAUUGCUCCACAGUGACACCGACUUGGGAAGUCUGGUGUAAUCCAUUCAUUUUUGUUGCAUGAACUACAAUCUUCUUCCCCGAUUUCAUUUACAAUUCCACUCCAAGAUGAGCUCAUCCUUUCAAUUAAACACUGAAAACCCGAAGAAGAAGAAGAAGGAAGAAUGAGAGAAGAA